RNAcentral lists this ribosomal RNA (156 nucleotides) under fungal endophyte WMS10. RNAcentral's name for it is "5.8S ribosomal RNA". It matches the Rfam family "5.8S ribosomal RNA". Rfam says of the family: 5.8S ribosomal RNA (5.8S rRNA) is a component of the large subunit of the eukaryotic ribosome. It is transcribed by RNA polymerase I as part of the 45S precursor that also contains 18S and 28S rRNA. Lineage: Eukaryota; Fungi; Ascomycota; Pezizomycetes; Pezizales. The record is from RNAcentral.
AAAACUUUCAACAACGGAUCUCUUGGUUCUCGCAUCGAUGAAGAACGCAGCGAAAUGCGAUAAGUAGUGUGAAUUGCAGAAUUCAGUGAAUCAUCAAAUCUUUGAACGCACAUUGCGCCUUCUGGUAUUCCGGGAGGCAUGCCUGUUCGAGCGUCA